Molecule: ribosomal RNA, 465 nt
Filed under: uncultured bacterium
Lineage: Bacteria
Description: partial 16S ribosomal RNA
Rfam family: Bacterial small subunit ribosomal RNA
Source: RNAcentral
CCUACGGGAGGCAGCAGUGGGGAAUAUUGCGCAAUGGGCGAAAGCCUGACGCAGCGACGCCGCGUGAGGGAUGAAGGUCUUCGGAUCGUAAACCUCUGUCAGCAGGGAAGAACGGUCACUGUGCUAAUCAGCAGUGAAUUGACGGUACCUGCAAAGGCAGCACCGGCUAACUCCGUGCCAGCAGCCGCGGUAAUACGGAGGGUGCGAGCGUUAAUCGGAAUUACUGGGCGUAAGGCGCUCGUAGGCGGUAUGGCAAGUCAAGGGUGAAAUCCCCGCGCGCAACGUGGGAACUGCCUUUGAAACUGGCAAACUGGAGUGUGUGAGAGGAUAGUGGAAUUCCAGGUGUAGGAGUGAAAUCCGUAGAGAUCUGGAGGAACAUCAGUGGCGAAGGCGACUAGCUGGAACAUAACUGACGCUGAGGAGCGAAAGCGUGGGUAGCAAACAGGAUUAGAUACCCUUGUAGUC